Molecule: ribosomal RNA, 824 nt
Filed under: uncultured bacterium SY6-44
Lineage: Bacteria
Description: bacterial SSU rRNA
Rfam family: Bacterial small subunit ribosomal RNA
Source: RNAcentral
UGGCGGUAUGCUUAACACAUGCAAGUCGAACGGUAGCAGGCCUUCGGGCGCUGACGAGUGGCGGACGGGUGAGUAACGCGUAGGAAUCUGCCUCAUAGUGGGGGACAACGUGGGGAAACUCACGCUAAUACCGCAUACGCCCUACGGGGGAAAGCGGGGGAUCUUCGGACCUCGCGCUAUGAGAUGAGCCUGCGUUAGAUUAGCUAGUUGGUGGGGUAAAGGCCUACCAAGGCGACGAUCUAUAGCUGGUCUGAGAGGACGAUCAGCCACACUGGGACUGAGACACGGCCCAGACUCCUACGGGAGGCAGCAGUGGGGAAUAUUGGACAAUGGGCGAAAGCCUGAUCCAGCAAUACCGCGUGUGUGAAGAAGGCCUUAGGGUUGUAAAGCACUUUCAAUUGGGAGGAAAACCUGUCGGUCAAUACCCGGCAGCUUGACAUUACCUUUAGAAGAAGCACCGGCUAACUCCGUGCCAGCAGCCGCGGUAAUACGGAGGGUGCGAGCGUUAAUCGGAAUUACUGGGCGUAAAGCGUGCGUAGGCGGUUCGUUAAGUCAGAUGUGAAAGCCCUGGGCUCAACCUGGGAACUGCAUUUGAAACUGGCGGACUAGAGUUUAGUAGANGGGAGUGGAAUUUCAGGUGUACGGGUGAAAAUGCGUAANAUAUNUGAAGGAACACCAGNGGGCGAAAGGNGANUUCCUGGGACUAAAAACUGGACNCUUGNGGUACCAAAGCGUGGGUAGCAAACAGGGAUUANAUACCCUGGUAGUCCACGCCGUAAACNAUNUUCNANUAAGCCCGUUGGNCCUAUUUACAGGAUUANUGG